This 467-nucleotide ribosomal RNA is filed under the name uncultured bacterium. RNAcentral's name for it is "partial 16S ribosomal RNA". It matches the Rfam family "Bacterial small subunit ribosomal RNA", at positions 28 to 507 of the family's 1533-position model. The record is from RNAcentral.
GACGAACGCUGGCGGCGUGCUUAACACAUGCAAGUCGAACGGAAAGGCCUCUUUCGGGGGGUACUCGAGUGGCGAACGGGUGAGUAACACGUGAGUAACCUGCCCUUGACUUUGGGAUAACUUCAGGAAACUGGGGCUAAUACCGGAUAGGAGCUCCUGCUGCAUGGUGGGGGUUGGAAAGUUUCGGCGGUUGGGGAUGGACUCGCGGCUUAUCAGCUUGUUGGUGGGGGAGUGGCUUACCAAGGCUUUGACGGGUAGCCGGCCUGAGAGGGUGACCGGCGACAUUGGGACUGAGAUACGGCCCAGACUCCUACGGGAGGCAGCAGUGGGGAAUAUUGCACAAUGGGUGGAAGCCUGAUGCAGCAACGCCGUGUGCGGGAUGACGGCCGUCGGGUUGUAAACCGCUUUCGCUCAUGACGAAGCUUUGUGUGACGGUAGUGGGUAAAGAAGCACCGGCUAACUACGUG